This 1134-nucleotide long non-coding RNA is filed under the name Mus spicilegus (steppe mouse). Its description in RNAcentral is "lncRNA (ENSMSIG00000016624.1)". The record is from RNAcentral. Lineage: Eukaryota; Metazoa; Chordata; Mammalia; Rodentia; Muridae.
CUCGCGGCGGGCGCGCGACCCCGCGCGGGCCAGUGCGCUUACUUCCUCCAGAGCCACCACAGCCUGCACGCGCGCCGGGAGCUCCGUGGGGGCGCGCAGCGACGACUCCGCGCGUGAGAAGCCGCCGGUCCCUGAGAAAUCCCCCUCCUCCAGAGUCCUUGAGAGCGCCGCUUAAAGCCGAGGGGCGUGUUCGUGACGUCAUGCUGGCCGAGCGGCCGGAGGCGGGCCGGGCGGUGCACCGGGCGCGCUCCUUGGCCGCCCGAGGCCCGCCCGGGGUUUUCGACCGGUGGUUCCCCCUCUUCCCGAUUUCGCACAUGCAAAUCUCCGCCCCCGCGCCGGAGAGUUGUCCGGGUGCUCUGGAGGGGAAGUGCGGAAGCGCCAGCGCCCGCGUUCGGCUGUAAGGCGCAGAUUUGCAUACGGGGACCCCCGCAGCCUUAUUUUCCCUCUAUAUCUACAUUACGUCUUUUACCUACCACAGUUUUUCAGCUGCACUGCGAGGCCGCUAACCCCAUUCUGUAUAAAUGUACACGACGUCCAGAGAUUGACCGAGAUACCCACGGCCUGAGGCCUGGACCGAACUUUGGUGCUUUGACAGAGGAGAGUUUGAAUACAGUUCCUCACUGUAACAGCUAUGCAGUUGAGAUUCCCAUAUCUGGAGAGGUCACAGGGUCAACAACUAAGCCUCCCUCUGGGAGAGCUGCCUUCACCAUCAUGGUCUCUGCACGGCCACGUAAGCAUUCAGCGUUUCUUCAUCAGAGAUAUGUUUCACCUGCCCUCAGCCAGAGGCUUGUAGAAAGCACUUUUGUUUUAUGUUAAGCUAACCUGUCGAUCCUACUACAGCUGUUGAUCCUAUAUUGUAAUUCCAUCUCCUUUGCUGAGGCAGGCUUCUAGAGAUGGCUGAGAAAAGAGACAGAAGGAGCCCGAGUGAUUGUGUAGAGCAGACAGUUAAAAAAAAAAAAAAGGUAGAGAUUUUUUAAAACUCCCCUUUAUUGAACUACCAUGUUUGGUAAAGUAGCUAAUAUUGACUAAUAUGGGUAUAUAUUAGAUUAGGAAAAAAAGGAAAUAGGGAAAAAAUCUGCUGACAAUGGAGUGUUUUGUUUGUUUCAUGAGGGGGGUGCUCUUUUUUUUUUGAAU